This 300-nucleotide ribosomal RNA is filed under the name Raphidia ophiopsis. RNAcentral's name for it is "eukaryotic LSU rRNA". It matches the Rfam family "Eukaryotic large subunit ribosomal RNA", at positions 1517 to 1758 of the family's 3401-position model. Lineage: Eukaryota; Metazoa; Arthropoda; Insecta; Raphidioptera; Raphidiidae. The record is from RNAcentral.
ACAGCCGUUGCACACGAGUCAGUCGAUCCUAAGCCCUAGGAGAAAUCCGAUGUCGAUGGGGGCCGUCAUAGCAUGAUGCCUAUUUGUGCUGGCCCCCGUUGGGCGAAAGGGAAUCCGGUUCCUAUUCCGGAACCCGGCAGCGGAACCGAUACAAGUCGGGCCCCUCUUUUAGAGAUGCUCGUCGGGGUAACCCAAAAGGACCCGGAGACGCCGUCGGGAGAUCGGGGAAGAGUUUUCUUUUCUGCAUGAGCGUUCGAGUUCCCUGGAAUCCUCUAGCAGGGAGAUAGGGUUUGGAACGCG